GAUGAACGCUGGCGGCGUGCCUAAUACAUGCAAGUCGAGCGAACAGACGAGGAGCUUGCUCCUCUGACGUUAGCGGCGGACGGGUGAGUAACACGUGGAUAACCUACCUAUAAGACUGGGAUAACUUCGGGAAACCGGAGCUAAUACCAGCUAAUAUAUUGUACCGCAUGGUUCAAUAGUGAAAGACGGUUUUGCUGACACUUAUAGAUGGAUCCGCGCCGCAUGAGCUAGGGGGUAAGGUAACGGCUUACCAAGGCAACGAUGCGUAGCCGACCUGAGAGGAUGAUCAGCCACACUAGAACUGAGACAAGGUCCAGACGCCGACGGGAGGCAGCAGUGGGGAAUAUUGGACAAUGGGCGCAAGCCUGAUCCAGCCAUACCGCGUGGGUGAAGAAGGCCGUCGGGUUGUAAAGCCCUUUUGUUGGGAAAGAAAAGCAGCAGGUUAAUACCCCGCUGUUCUGAGGGUACCCAAAGAAUAAGCAACGGCUAACUUCGUG
This 497-nucleotide ribosomal RNA is filed under the name uncultured bacterium. RNAcentral describes it as "partial 16S ribosomal RNA". It matches the Rfam family "Bacterial small subunit ribosomal RNA", at positions 28 to 507 of the family's 1533-position model. The record is from RNAcentral.